RNAcentral lists this ribosomal RNA (379 nucleotides) under uncultured organism. RNAcentral describes it as "partial 16S ribosomal RNA". It matches the Rfam family "Bacterial small subunit ribosomal RNA", at positions 527 to 896 of the family's 1533-position model. The record is from RNAcentral.
GUAGGUGGCAAGCGUUGUCCGGGAAUUAUGGGCGUAAAGCGCGCGCAGGCGGGUCCUUUAAGUCUGAUGUGAAAGCCCACGGGCUCAACCGUGGAGGGGUCAUUGGAAACUGGGGGACUUGAGUACAGAAGAGGAAAGCGGAAUUCCAAGUGUAGCGGUGAAAUGCGUAGAGAUUUGGAGGAACACCAGUGGCGUAAGGCGGCUUUCUGGUCUGUAACUGACGCUGAGGCGCGAAAGCGUGGGGAGCAAACAGGAUUAGAUACCCCUGGUAGUCCACGCCGUAAACGAUGAGUGCUAAGUGUUACGGGGGUUUCCGCCCCUUAGUGCUGCAGCUAACGCAUUAAGCACUCCGCCUAGGGGAGUACGGCCGCAAAGGCUG